GCUGUUGGGCGCCGGAAGCAGUUGCGGUCCGACUGACAACCCUGCGGGACCCGGCCCGACCCCGGCGCGCGCGCGGCGGAGGACGAGGAAGAGUUGUGGCGAGGCAGAUCCUGCCCCGCGGCCGCGGCCGUCUCGUAGGUCGGCCCCAGGAGGCUCCCGGGAACGCCUGUCAGUGCGAUGCUGCCCCAUGUGAUGCUCACCUUCCCGCGCCUGGGCUGUGCCUUGGCCUCCUGCCGGCUGGCUCCUGCGAGACACACAGGAAGUGGUCUUCUGCACACAGCCCCGGUGGCCCACUCAGACAGGAGCGCCCCGGUGUUCACCCGUGCCCUGGCCUUUGGGGACAGAAUCGCCCUGGUUGACCAGCACAGCCGCCACACGUACAGGGAGCUUUAUUCCCGCAGCCUUCGCCUGUCCCAGGAGAUCUGCAGGCUCCGCGGGUGUGUCGGCGGGAACCUCCGGGAAGAGAGGGUCUCCUUCCUGUGCGCUAACGACGCCUCCUACGUCGUGGCCCAGUGGGCCUCGUGGAUGAGCGGCGGUGUGGCAGUCCCCCUCUACAGGAAGCACCCCGCGGCCCAGCUGGAGUAUGUCAUCUGCGACUCCCAGAGCUCUGUGGUCCUCGCCAGCCAGGAGUACCUGGAGCUCCUGAGCCCAGUGGUCAGGAAGCUGGGGGUCCCGCUGCUGCCACUCACACCAGCCAUCUACACUGGAGCAGUACAGGAACCAGCAGAGGUCCCAGUCCCAGAGCAGGGGUGGAAGGACAAGGGAGCCAUGAUCAUCUACACCAGUGGGACCACAGGGAGGCCCAAGGGCGUGCUGAGCACGCACCAAAACAUCAGGGCUGUGGUGACCGGGCUGGUCCACAAGUGGGCGUGGACCAAAGACGACGUGAUCCUCCACGUGCUCCCGCUGCACCACGUCCAUGGUGUGGUCAACGCGCUGCUCUGUCCUCUCUGGGUGGGAGCCACCUGUGUGAUGAUGCCUGAGUUCAGCGCUCAGCAGGUCUGGGAAAAGUUCUUAAGUUCUGAAACGCCGCGGAUCAAUGUCUUUAUGGCAGUGCCUACAAUAUACACCAAGCUGAUGGAGUACUAUGACAGGCAUUUUACCCAGCCACACGCCCGGGAUUUCUUGCGUGCAGUUUGUAAAGAAAAUAUUAGGCUCAUGGUCUCAGGCUCAGCCGCCUUGCCCCUCCCAGUGCUGGAGAAGUGGAAGAGCAUCACGGGCCACACCCUGCUGGAGCGGUAUGGCAUGACCGAGAUCGGCAUGGCUCUGUCCGGGCCCCUGACCGCCGCCGCGCGCCUGCCAGGUUCCGUGGGGACCCCGCUGCCUGGAGUACAGGUGCGCAUUGUCUCAGAAAACCCACAGAAGGAAGGCUGCUCCUACACCGUUCACGCAGAGGGAGACGAGAGGGGGACCAAGGUGACCCCAGGGCUUGAAGAAAAGGAGGGGGAGCUGCUGGUGAGGGGACCCUCCGUGUUUCGAGAAUACUGGAAUAAACCAGAAGAAACUAAAAGUGCAUUCACCCUGGAUGGCUGGUUUAAGACAGGGGACACCGUGGUGUUUAAGGACGGCCAGUUAACCAGAGCCCACUUUCCUCAGGGGACACCGUGGUGUUUAAGGACGGCCAGUACUGGAUCCGAGGCCGGACCUCAGUGGACAUCAUCAAGACCGGAGGCUACAAGGUCAGCGCCCUGGAGGUGGAGUGGCAUCUGCUGGCCCACCCCAGCAUCACAGACGUGGCUGUGAUUGGAGUUCCGGAUAUGACAUGGGGCCAGCGGGUCACUGCUGUGGUGACCCUCCGAGAAGGACACUCACUGUCCCACAGGGAGCUCAAAGAGUGGGCCAGAGAUGUCCUGGCCCCGUACGCAGUGCCCUCGGAGCUGGUGCUGGUGGAGGAGAUUCCGCGGAACCAGAUGGGCAAGCUUGACAAGAAGGCGCUCAUCAGGCACUUCCUCCCCGCGUGACCCAGCAGGCUGGGACCGCGGGUCUGGCGGGGAGCAGCAGACGUCCCCUUCACACUGAGCACCACAGGGCCCCGUCCAAGACCUGGCCUUGAACCUGAACCCCCAAAUCAGGUCACGUAGAAUCAAGAACUGUUUGGGUGAAAUCACCAUGUGAGGUCCCCAGCCUUGGGCCAGUUGUUGCAGGUCAAGGAGACCAUCCCUGGUGUCACCUCUGCCUGGUCACCGCCGACCUCACCUGUGCAGCGCGAUGCAGCCAUGCUCUGGUGUUGCCAGCCCCUGGCCCCACGUGCUCAGGCACCUCCCGCCCCACAGUGCCCUGCAGCUGCCAGGCUCUCCAGGGCAGGUUCCGGAGGUGUCCCCCAAAAAAGAAAAGACUCCACUGAGGAAACGAGCCCCUGUCCCACGCCGUCUGCCCGUGCCUGUGCCUCACCCGGAGCCAGUGUCUCCCAGCCCACAUAGGAGGUCUGGGCGGCCACCCAGGGGGCCCUCCUGGGAGGAGCUGAGGGUUCACAAGCCUGCCAGAACCAGCCCUGUCCCAUAGGUUCCGGGCGUUUCCUGGUGCCACUCUCAGGGGAGAGCAGCUCCCACUGUGGGGACACCUGCCACCCUGCACACUACUGUGUGUCCGUCAGCAUGUGUCACAAAGUGUGUGGACAGACAGCCCUAGAGCUGCUCUGCCAUGACCCUGCCUCACCCCCCAGUGCAGGGACCUUCCAGGUCAUCUCCACACCAGCCCCUCAGCCAGUGAACCCUCCCUCCCAUCACCGUCUCUACCCAGACCCCCACGUACCCCAUGGCCCCUCAUCUCAUGUCUGUGGCUCACCAGCUUUUCCCCAGACGCAGCUCCAGAGCCCGCAGGCGUGGCCGAUGCAGAAACCUUAGGAACGUGUUGUGAAUGUUCGGUGCACCCACGUUGUAUUUACUUAGCGGGGUCAAUUCAGAUGCACAGGGGCCACAUGCGGAAUCCAGAAGUUUCUGGACAAUUUUCAGAAUAGGCUGCCUCCUCCCCACAGCCUCUGGGAAGUAACAGUCAUAGCCCAGCAGUGUCUGGCCUAAACUUAACCAGAACAUUCUGCCCCCUGAAUGCACGUCUGAAAGAGUGGCCAGAAACGAGUGUGCUGGGCAGGAGACCAGCCCCAUCUGAGGCUCACGUGCCUCAUGGACAGUUGAACGUGGCCUGGGGCCCUGCUCACUUAAGCAUGUCGCCCACCAAGCUUGUCUGAGGCCACAGAGCAGCGUCCCAGCCAUUUUCCAGGAUGGGUGGGUGCCCCAGUCCACGGCCCUGCCCCACCCGAACUCCUGCCUCACGGUGUGGCCUUGUGCAUCCCCAUGGCCUGACCCCAGGAACAGUCAGAGGAAGGGGCCCCGCCGUCCCGCCGGAGGCCUGGACCCAAGGGAAUGGCACUCAGAGACUACAGUCCAGACGUUUGUGUGUGGGCCUUGCUAGCAGCUAAGGAAAUGCGUUCUGCUGGGAAAAGAUCAAAUUUAACAUAGAAAGAUUUUUACUU
Molecule: RNA transcript, 3469 nt
Organism: Nomascus leucogenys (northern white-cheeked gibbon)
Lineage: Eukaryota; Metazoa; Chordata; Mammalia; Primates; Hylobatidae
Gene: ACSF3
Gene name: acyl-CoA synthetase family member 3
Exons: 10
Source: RefSeq, a predicted model, not a curated record